GAAUGUUAUCACGGGAGACACACGGCGGGUGCUAACGUCCGUCGUGAAGAGGGAAACAACCCAGACCGCCAGCUAAGGUCCCAAAGUCAUGGUUAAGUGGGAAACGAUGUGGGAAGGCCCAGACAGCCAGGAUGUUGGCUUAGAAGCAGCCAUCAUUUAAAGAAAGCGUAAUAGCUCACUGGUCGAGUCGGCCUGCGCGGAAGAUGUAACGGGGCUAAACCAUGCACCGAAGCUGCGGCAGCGACGCUGAUGCGUUGUUGGGUAGGGGAGCGUUCUGUAAGCCUGUGAAGGUGUGCUGUGAGGCAUGCUGGAGGUAUCAGAAGUGCGAAUGCUGACAUAAGUAACGAUAAAGCGGGUGAAAAGCCCGCUCGCCGGAAGACCAAGGGUUCCUGUCCAACGUUAAUCGGGGCAGGGUGAGUCGACCCCUAAGGCGAGGCCGAAAGGCGUAGUCGAUGGGAAACAGGUUAAUAUUCCUGUACUUGGUGUUACUGCGAAGGGGGGACGGAGAAGGCUAUGUUGGCCGGGCGACGGUUGUCCCGGUUUAAGCGUGUAGGCUGGUUUUCCAGGCAAAUCCGGAAAACUAAGGCUGAGGCGUGAUGACGAGGCACUACGGUGCUGAAGCAACAAAUGCCCUGCUUCCAGGAAAAGCCUCUAAGCAUCAGGUAACAUCAAAUCGUACCCCAAACCGACACAGGUGGUCAGGUAGAGAAUACCAAGGCGCUUGAGAGAACUCGGGUGAAGGAACUAGGCAAAAUGGUGCCGUAACUUCGGGAGAAGGCACGCUGAUAUGUAGGUGAAGUCCCUCGCGGAUGGAGCUGAAAUCAGUCGAAGAUACCAGCUGGCUGCAACUGUUUAUUAAAAACACAGCACUGUGCAAACACGAAAGUGGACGUAUACGGUGUGACGCCUGCCCGGUGCCGGAAGGUUAAUUGAUGGGGUCAGCGCAAGCGAAGCUCUUGAUCGAAGCCCCGGUAAACGGCGGCCGUAACUAUAACGGUCCUAAGGUAGCGAAAUUCCUUGUCGGGUAAGUUCCGACCUGCACGAAUGGCGUAAUGAUGGCCAGGCUGUCUCCACCCGAGACUCAGUGAAAUUGAACUCGCUGUGAAGAUGCAGUGUACCCGCGGCAAGACGGAAAGACCCCGUGAACCUUUACUAUAGCUUGACACUGAACAUUGAGCCUUGAUGUGUAGGAUAGGUGGGAGGCUUUGAAGUGUGGACGCCAGUCUGCAUGGAGCCGACCUUGAAAUACCACCCUUUAAUGUUUGAUGUUCUAACGUUGACCCGUAAUCCGGGUUGCGGACAGUGUCUGGUGGGUAGUUUGACUGGGGCGGUCUCCUCCUAAAGAGUAACGGAGGAGCACGAAGGUUGGCUAAUCCUGGUCGGACAUCAGGAGGUUAGUGCAAUGGCAUAAGCCAGCUUGACUGCGAGCGUGACGGCGCGAGCAGGUGCGAAAGCAGGUCAUAGUGAUCCGGUGGUUCUGAAUGGAAGGGCCAUCGCUCAACGGAUAAAAGGUACUCCGGGGAUAACAGGCUGAUACCGCCCAAGAGUUCAUAUCGACGGCGGUGUUUGGCACCUCGAUGUCGGCUCAUCACAUCCUGGGGCUGAAGUAGGUCCCAAGGGUAUGGCUGUUCGCCAUUUAAAGUGGUACGCGAGCUGGGUUUAGAACGUCGUGAGACAGUUCGGUCCCUAUCUGCCGUGGGCGCUGGAGAACUGAGGGGGGCUGCUCCUAGUACGAGAGGACCGGAGUGGACGCAUCACUGGUGUUCGGGUUGUCAUGCCAAUGGCACUGCCCGGUAGCUAAAUGCGGAAGAGAUAAGUGCUGAAAGCAUCUAAGCACGAAACUUGCCCCGAGAUGAGUUCUCCCUGACUCCUUGAGAGUCCUGAAGGAACGUUGAAG
This 1897-nucleotide ribosomal RNA is filed under the name Escherichia coli. Its description in RNAcentral is "partial 23S ribosomal RNA". It matches the Rfam family "Bacterial large subunit ribosomal RNA", at positions 967 to 2843 of the family's 2925-position model. Lineage: Bacteria; Pseudomonadati; Pseudomonadota; Gammaproteobacteria; Enterobacterales; Enterobacteriaceae. The record is from RNAcentral.